Molecule: long non-coding RNA, 242 nt
Filed under: Gossypium raimondii (Peruvian cotton)
Lineage: Eukaryota; Viridiplantae; Streptophyta; Magnoliopsida; Malvales; Malvaceae
Description: long non-coding RNA (GRAI_LNC000500)
Source: RNAcentral
UCUAUUAUACAAAAGAAUACUCUAAUGUAAGGAGAAAAGUACGAUCAAAUUGAAGCAAAUCUGCGGAAUCAGGUGGCUGAAAGUUGAGACUAUUUAAGUGAUGUAGGGCUGGUUUGAUUUAAAGAAAAAAAGAAAAAAAAGAGAUGACUUCCUAAUGGUGAAUUUCUAGCUUAAGAGUACUAGCUCCACCAUCCAAAUAAAUUCCUCCCGUCCUUAAACAUUACCUUGAGCCCCAUUACAAC